AUUUAUCAAUGGGAGAGGAAGGGGAAGGAAUUGUGCAUACUGAGAUUUUAUUUUGGUGUAGAACGAGAGGACUCUGCAGGUUAAACUAUGAGCUUCAGAAGAAACUUUGUUUUUUGUCUCUGGCUUUCCCAAAAGCUUGGAAAGACGCUGCAUUUUCAUCGCCUGGCUGCACAACAGCUUUGCUGGUUCUUCUCCCGCCACCCAACUGCGUUACGCAUCCUCAUUCAUCCUUGAACUUUUGCUUCCAAGCCUAUCGGGCACUGCAGUUGUUUGGGGUUUUUUUGCUUGUUAGCAUUUGGUUGCUUCAUGGGCAAAUAGGUCUGAGAAGAGAUUAGGGAUUGGAGCAAUGGGCCAUGACCCUUUGCAAAGGAAUCGAUGCCUCUGAAGCUGGGGACGCAUUGUGCACUUGCGCAGUUCCGAGGGAAGGAAGUAAAAGGGGGGGGGGGGUUGCUUACUUGCCAGACGAGAGACGCCAGGAAAGCAGUUUGAGGAAGAGAUCAGCAGGCAAGGUGUAGAGCUUUCCUACAGAAACCAACCUUCCCUUUCUAAUAAAAGCAAUAAUCUACCGGACUAGCACCCUCUGGUGUGAGAAAGGUGGAACUGUCAGGAAGCCAAAGGAAAAGAUGGCAGAGUGAAUUCCUCGUGACGUAGUAAUACUCAUAUGCAAGCUUAAGUUUUUAUUUUAUUUUAAACUCCUCUGAAACUUCUUCCUGCCAUCAGAAAGGUGGGGUCCUGCUCACGUGCUUAUCUCUGAUGCAUGUUUUAAAAGUGCAUUCUGAAAUAAACAAGCCUGUUUCAUUUUUUUGCUUUUUUUUGGUAAAUCCUCCCCCCACAAAAAAGGAAAAUAUUGCCACUGCCUGGAUAGCUCAGUUGGUUAGAGUGGGGCGAUGAUAACGCCAGGGUUGCAGGUUCGAUCCCCGUAUGGCACAGCUGUGUAUUCCUGCAUUGCGGGGGGUUGGACAAGGUGAUCCUCGGGGUCCCAACUCCACAAUUAUAGGGCCUAGAAAUAUAGAGGGUGGCGCUGUGGGUUAAACCACAGAGCCUAGGGCUUGCAUAUCAGAAGGUUGGCGGUUCGAAUCCCCGCGACAGGGUGAGCUCCCGUUGCUCAGUCCCUGCUCCUGCCAACCUAGCAGUUCGAAAGCAUGUCAAAGUGCAAGUAGAUAAAUAGGUACCACUCUGGCAGGAAGGUAAACGGCGUUUCCGUGCACUGCUCUGGUUCGCCAGAAGCGGCUUAGUCCUGCUGGCCACAUGUACGCCGGCUCCCUCGGCCAAUAAAGCAAGAUGAGCGCCGCAACCCCAGAGUCGGCCAUGACUGGACCUAAUGGUCAGGGGUCCCUUUACCUUUACUGCAGGAGUAAGGACUUAAAACAUUGCUUAGCUGGAGCAGAGCAAGAUUCAUAAGCUCCAGCUAUUCUGUGCCCAGGCAGAUGCUCAGGAGAUUGGGGCAUACAAGAAGACUCCUGUAUCUGGAUCGCACCAAAGGCCCAUAUAGUCCAACGUCGUGUUCUCACAGUGACCAACCAGAUGCCCCAGUGGGGAGCAGGACCUGGUCAGGACCUGAAUGCCACAGUGCCCCACUCCACAAUUGCGAUUCCUCUGCAACUGGCACGGGAGGCAGAGCAUAGCCAUCCUGGCUGGUAGCCAUCGAUAGCCUUUCCCUCCAUGAAUAUGUCAAAAUCCUCUUUAAAGCCAUCCAAGCUGGAGGCGGCCACUACAUCUUACUGGAGCGAAUUUCAUAGUUUUAACCAAGUGCCACGUGAGAAAGUUCAUUUGUUCGCCUGCCCCCAGCCUUCAUGGAGCAUGGGACAAACUUGUGGUUUGUUUUUUUUAAAAAAAGAGAUCCUAUUCUGUCUUCUAGUUGACUUCUCAUAUGGUAUUCAUACCCUCCCCUGUUUUUUAUUUAUUCCUUCCAAUUCUAUGAUUUGUCUCAGUGAAGAUCCUCUCUUAAAGGCACGUUAACUCUUGUCCGUGGGAAACAACUCCAGCCUCCUGGCGUGGCUGAUGUUUUCAGCUCCUGGAUUGGCCUAGAGAGGCUGGGGGCUUGCAGGGAGGGCUUGCUCAUCGUCCCCCAAAUCUGAGAAGGCAUCAGAGGGGGGCGUGAUGCAGGGGAGCAGCUUGGAAGAUGGGAAGGCUAUAUCAGGUCAUGUAGCUCUGUAGUAACCACACAGACUGGCAGUAGCUCUCCAGAUUUCAUUCAGAGAGGAGUCUCUGCCAGCCGUGCCUAGAGACGCAGGGGAUUGAACCUUAAACCUUCUGCAUGCAAGGCAGCAGCUGUUCUACCAUUGAGCUGAGGCCCUUCCCCUCUCUCUUUUAGGGUUCGAAUGUGGAGGCUCCCUGCUCCCCACCCCCGUUACAACCGGAAACGCCUUUGGCCAAACAUACGCUUGCAAGCUACCUUGAAUUUCUGCGUGGCGGAGAGGUGGGAUAUGAAACAAGGUUCGAUUCUUGCCGGUGUCCCACUGAUGGAUUGCUUUGUGGGUAUCAAGGAUGUCCCAGAGCACCAGUGGAUCUUCUCUCUCUUUUUUUGUAGAUACCAAAACUGUCAUUCCAGCACUUUGGUGGGAGGAGAGAAUAAUUUCUUCCUGUUGAUUUUGGGAAAGCUCGCCCUUGGUUCUGAGCUAGUUUUAUUUAUUAAACACGAAAAGGAAAUCCCAGGGAAUCUGUGUUCAUGCAUUUAACUAUUUAUACC
Podarcis lilfordi (Lilford's wall lizard) is the source of this 2689-nucleotide non-coding RNA. NCBI's taxonomy places the organism in Eukaryota, Metazoa, Chordata, Lepidosauria, Squamata, Lacertidae. The record is from the annotation of a GenBank genome assembly.